UAAAUCGCUCAUCAAGCGAUUGAGCGUUGCUGGUAAUGGUGUAGUGUGAGUGGACUACAGGAUGUAGUCCGAAGCGCCAUGGAUGGCGCGUUUCGAACACGUAACCAUUACCAGCAACGCUCAGUCGCUUGAUGAGUGAUCCA
This is a regulatory RNA element of Gammaproteobacteria bacterium SCGC AG-212-F23, 143 nucleotides long. NCBI's taxonomy places the organism in Bacteria, Pseudomonadati, Pseudomonadota, Gammaproteobacteria. The record is from Rfam.